Molecule: non-coding RNA, 45 nt
Organism: Schistosoma mattheei
Lineage: Eukaryota; Metazoa; Platyhelminthes; Trematoda; Strigeidida; Schistosomatidae
Source: Rfam
AUCCAGUUGAUGAGUCUCAAAUAGAACGAAACGCGAGUCGUGGAU